RNAcentral lists this ribosomal RNA (307 nucleotides) under uncultured fungus. RNAcentral's name for it is "eukaryotic LSU rRNA". The stretch from base 1 to 52 matches the Rfam family "5.8S ribosomal RNA", at positions 103 to 154 of the family's 154-position model. Lineage: Eukaryota; Fungi. The record is from RNAcentral.
AACGCACCUUGCGCUCCUUGGUAUUCCGAGGAGCAUGCCUGUUUGAGUGUCAUGGUAUUCUCAAUCCAUUCAAUACUGUCAAAGGUAUUGGAUUGGUAUUGGAUGUGGAGGAUUAUUGCUGGUCUCUUUAUUGAGUAUCAGCUCCUCUGAAAUGCAUUAGUGUGAAUGUUUACCGAGCAUUUUCUCAGUGUGAUAAUUAUCUACGCCUCAUGACCGAUGCUCUUGUUCUGCUUCUAACCGUCCAUUACUUGGACAGCUCUUUUGACAAUUUGACCUCAAAUCAGGUAGGACUACCCGCUGAACUUAA